CUCUCCUAGGGAGGCAGCAGUGGGGGAUAUUGCACAAUGGGGGGAACCCUGAUGCAGCGACGCCGCGUGGGUGAAGGAGUAUUUCGGUAUGUAAAGCCCUAUCGGCAGGGAAGAAUUUAGACGGUACCUGACUAAGAAGCCCCGGCUAACUACGUGCCAGCAGCCGCGGUAAUACGUAGGGGGCAAGCGUUAUCCGGAUUCACUGGGUGUAAAGGGAGCGUAGACGGCCAGGCAAGCCUGGAGUGAAAGCCCGGGGCCCAAGCCCGGGAC
RNAcentral lists this ribosomal RNA (270 nucleotides) under uncultured bacterium. RNAcentral's name for it is "partial 16S ribosomal RNA". It matches the Rfam family "Bacterial small subunit ribosomal RNA", at positions 334 to 621 of the family's 1533-position model. The record is from RNAcentral.